This 488-nucleotide ribosomal RNA is filed under the name uncultured bacterium. Its description in RNAcentral is "bacterial SSU rRNA". It matches the Rfam family "Bacterial small subunit ribosomal RNA", at positions 28 to 507 of the family's 1533-position model. The record is from RNAcentral.
GAUGAACGCUAGCUACAGGCUUAACACAUGCAAGUCGAGGGGCAGCAUGAAUUUACUUCGGUAAAUUUGAUGGCGACCGGCGCACGGGUGCGUAACGCGUAUCCAACCUUCCCGUUACUCCGGGAUAGCCUUCCGAAAGGGAGAUUAAUACCGGAUGGUGUUCAAGUGGUGCAUAUUAUUUGAACUAAAGAUUUAUCGGUAACGGAUGGGGAUGCGUACCAUUGGAUAGUAGGCGGGGUAACGGCCCACCUAGUCCACGAUGGUUAGGGGUUCUGAGAGGAAGGUCCCCCACAUUGGUACUGAGACACGGACCAAACUCCUACGGGAGGCAGCAGUGAGGAAUAUUGGUCAAUGGUCGGAAGACUGAACCAGCCAUGCCGCGUGAAGGUCACGGCCCUAUGGGUCUUAAACUUCUUUUGUAAGGGAGCAAUAAGGCGUACGUGUACGUCGAUGAGAGUACCUUACGAUAAGCAUCGGCUAACUCCGUG